UACGUAGGGUGCAAGCGUUAAUCGGAAUUACUGGGCGUAAAGCGUGCGCAGACGGUUGCGUAAGUCAGAUGUGAAAGCCCCGGGCUCAACCUGGGAAUUGCAUUCGAGACUGCGUGGCUAGGGUGCGGAAGAGGGAAGCGGAAUUUCCGGUGUAGCGGUGAAAUGCGUAGAUAUCGGAAGGAACACCAGUGGCGAAAGCGGCUUCCUGGUCCAGCACCGACGUCAGGCACGAAAGCGUGGGGAGCAAACAGG
RNAcentral lists this ribosomal RNA (252 nucleotides) under uncultured bacterium. RNAcentral describes it as "partial 16S ribosomal RNA". It matches the Rfam family "Bacterial small subunit ribosomal RNA", at positions 524 to 776 of the family's 1533-position model. The record is from RNAcentral.